Molecule: ribosomal RNA, 443 nt
Filed under: uncultured bacterium
Lineage: Bacteria
Description: partial 16S ribosomal RNA
Rfam family: Bacterial small subunit ribosomal RNA
Source: RNAcentral
CCUACGUGAGGCAGCAGUGGGGAAUAUUGGGCAAUGGGCGCAAGCCUGACCCAGCAACGCCGCGUGAAGGAAGAAGGCUUUCGGGUUGUAAACUUCUUUUCUCAGGGACGAAGCAAGUGACGGUACCUGAGGAAUAAGCCACGGCUAACUACGUGCCAGCAGCCGCGGUAAUACGGAGGUGGCAAGCGUUAUCCGGAUUUACUGGGUGUAAAGGGCGUGUAGGCGGGAAAGCAAGUCAGAUGUGAAAACCAUGGGCUCAACCUGUGGCCUGCAUUUGAAACUGUUUUUCUUGAGUACUGGAGAGGCAGACGGAAUUCCUAGUGUAGCGGUGAAAUGCGUAGAUAUUAGGAGGAACACCAGUGGCGAAGGCGGUCUGCUGGACUGCAACUGACGCUGAGGCGCGAAAGCGUGGGGAGCAAACAGGAUUAGAUACCCCAGUAGUC